This 1329-nucleotide long non-coding RNA is filed under the name Chinchilla lanigera (long-tailed chinchilla). RNAcentral describes it as "lncRNA (ENSCLAG00000029122.1)". Lineage: Eukaryota; Metazoa; Chordata; Mammalia; Rodentia; Chinchillidae. The record is from RNAcentral.
CCGGGAGGGCGGGGCCAGGGCGGAGCCAGUGCCCCUAGCUGUAGUCGCGUGGUCCGUGCUGCGCGUGGUCUCGGCUGUGCGCGGUCCUGGCUGUGAGGCCGGACCCUGUCGGGCUGCGGUCGGCCACCCACACUUUGAGCGCUGUGUGCCCGGCGCCAUGUGUUCCUGUGGGUUCUGUGCUCGCCCACGAAGCCGGACCCGACCGACUCGCGAAGCUCGGAAAGGACCGAGAGAAAAAGAGAAAGCGCAGCCCGCGAGCUCAGGAGCGGGGAUACCACACUUUGAGAAGCAACCUUCAAGCUAGUAUUGUUUUGAGCAUCUUUAAGCUGCCUGUCACCAAACUACAACAUCAUGAAAACAUUUGCCCUUGAGAGACGACCCCUUUUCCCACUGGACGUCUGGAGUCAGCUGCUUCCUCUUCCCAGCAUAGCCAACCACUGUCAGUUCUGAAGGCACAUCUGUGAACACAGUAUGCCCCAAACAGUUGUGAGCCAAUUCUGCUUGCUCCUGCAUAGAACCACGGAAGCAGAAGUGAGUAGUCUCUACCUGGAGUUACCUGGCCAUAGGUUUCUGAAGGAGCUGAUGAUACUGCAGGCCUUACAGUAACAUUGAAAGCAGCCUAUUCUCACUGACCAUGUUCCUGCUGAGAGAUUUGCAGCCUGAAAUGCAUUCCUGACAUACAACGCUACCACAUUAGCAUGAGUUAUUUGAAACACUGUGUUUAAUGUGGUCAGCUUAAUAGACUAAUUUAAUAAUCCAAGACAUGAAAACAUCAUUCAGUGAUAAUACCAAACAGAAACAUAUACAUCCAAGUAGUGUAGAAAAACAAACUACCCCAUAAAGGCAAUGAAGUGUGGAUGCUGAAUAAAACCAUUGGUUGUUAUAUCUAAGGUCCACUGAUUGUUUGCUUCCAUUAGUGGAAAAGCAGCAAAGUUUAACUGCAUACAAAACGUAAUUACUUUGAGUUAAUAGAGGAGUUCCAUGAGCAAUAAUAUAAAAUACACUGUAAUCUUCCAGAUUGACUUGAAAUUCACAGAACAAAUCAACAGAGAGUUUAACAACAUGUAGCUGUAUUACUUCCAGCUGCGUGCAGAGAGAAACACCUGGGUAAAGGCCAAACAAGGUGCCAGGCCUCUUCUUCACCUUUCAUUAAAUAUUUGCUGUUUGGAUGAAUGCAUUUCUCGCUCACAUAGAGGUGUUUGUCACAAAUAAUUCUGCAUGUGCUAAAAAUAAAGUAAAAAUGCAACAAAUUAAUAGGUGAGAGGCUGAGAAAUAUGAUCAAAUGAGUUCAUUAAUAAGCACAACUGUCAUGUGGUGCUUAUGAAGUGC